This 726-nucleotide non-coding RNA is filed under the name plant metagenome. RNAcentral's name for it is "partial contains small subunit ribosomal RNA and internal transcribed spacer 1". The stretch from base 98 to 422 matches the Rfam family "Group I catalytic intron". The record is from RNAcentral.
AAGUCGUAACAAGGUUUCCGUAGAACAAGUCUUGCAGGAAUGAUUCCUUCCGUAGUGUACACUUGUAGAAGCCUUUGCAGCCACGCGAGUGGUAGAUCCGAGCGACUUUAAACAAUUCCAAGAUCGCUAUGCAAGUCGGCCCACGCAUGUGGUGCCGGCGACACUUUCGAAUUGACGGGGACGCCCUAAAGCCUGUCGCACCAACUUUGUGCGGGAAACCGCUAGAGGGCCCGUGCUAACUACACGGGAUGGUAACAGACGACAUGGAUAUUUUCACGCCUUUGUGGAUACUAUGGGCAAUCCGCAGCGAAGCCUCUAAGUCCGGCCGCCGGAUAUGAGGAACGUUCACAGACUAAGUGGAAGUGGGUGGAGCGUUUGCCGCUCUGCUUAAGAUAUAGUCGGUCCCUUUAGGAAACUAAGGGGGGUGAGUACACUGCUUGAAAUUUAAACACGAACGUGCGUGGUUAAGGUACGCUUUUCUCUCCCCCGGUCUCGGAGAGCGCUCAUGUUAAGAUUCCGAGACUGUCAAUUGCCUCGCGGUUUAACAGCUCUCAAAACGUUCCGUAGGUGAACCUGCGGAAGGAUCAUUACAGAAAGUAAACGCGGGUCAACCGCGAACUUUUAAACCUUUGACGAUUGACUCGUGUUGCCUUCGGCGGGCUCGCCCGCCAGAGGAUACAUCAAAAUCUUGUUUUAACGGUGUUGUCUGGCUACAGCACGAUCAAA